AUUGAACGCUGGCGGCAUGCCUUACACAUGCAAGCCGAACGGCAGCACGGGAGCUUGCUCCUGGUGGCGAGUGGCGAACGGGUGAGUAAUACAUCGGAACGUACCCAGUAGUGGGGGAUAACGCACCGAAAGGUGCGCUAAUACCGCAUACGACCUAAGGGUAAAAGCGGGGGACCGUAAGGCCUCGCGCUAUUGGAGCGGCCGAUGUCUGAUUAGCUAGUUGGCGGGGUAAAGGCCCACCAAGGCGACGAUCAGUAGCUGGUCUGAGAGGACGAUCAGCCACACUGGGACUGAGACACGGCCCAGACUCCUACGGGAGGCAGCAGUGGGGAAUUUUGGACAAUGGGGGCAACCCUGAUCCAGCAAUGCCGCGUGUGCGAAGAAGGCCUUCGGGUUGUAAAGCACUUUUGUCAGGGAAGAAAUCUUUCGGGCUAAUACCCUUGGAAGGAUGACGGUACCUGAAGAAUAAGCACCGGCUAACUACGUGCCAGCCGCCGCUGUAA
This 503-nucleotide ribosomal RNA is filed under the name uncultured bacterium. RNAcentral's name for it is "partial 16S ribosomal RNA". It matches the Rfam family "Bacterial small subunit ribosomal RNA", at positions 30 to 523 of the family's 1533-position model. The record is from RNAcentral.